GUAAAUUUGUGGAGUACCUUCCACAAGAUACAAGAAAAAUACUUGUUUCUCACCUCAAAUGGCGGUUCCGAUUGAAGAAGCCAUAGCUGCACUAUCCACAUUUUCUCUAGAGGAUGAUCAACCUGAAGUACAAGGCCCAGGGUUUUGGGUUUCAGCUGAAGGAGGUGCAACUAUUAGUCCAAUCGAGUACAGUGAUGUGGCUGCAUAUAGGUUGUCCUUAUCAGAAGAUACUAAAGCUAUUAACCAGCUGAACACACUUAUACAAGAGGGGAAGGAAAUGGGUUCCGUGCUCUACACAUAUAGAAGUUGUGUUAAAGCACUUCCUCAGCUUCCAGAUUCUAUGAAGCAAAGUCAGGCCGACCUGUAUCUUGAAACUUACCAAGUUUUGGAUUUGGAAAUGAGCCGUCUACGUGAAAUUCAGAGAUGGCAAGCAUCCGCAGCAUCUAAGCUGGCAGCUGACAUGCAACGUUUUUCCAGACCUGAGCGUCGUAUUAAUGGUCCCACAGUAACUCAUCUUUGGUCCAUGCUGAAAUUACUUGAUGUUCUGAUCCAGCUUGAUCAUCUUAAAAAUGCAAAAGCUAGUAUACCUAAUGACUUCUCUUGGUACAAAAGGACAUUCACACAAGUUAGUGUGCAGUGGCAAGAUACAGAUUCAAUGAGAGAGGAGUUGGAUGAUUUACAGAUCUUCUUGAGCACGAGGUGGGCUAUUUUGUUGAACUUGCAUGUUGAGAUGUUCCGUGUCAACAAUGUUGAAGACAUUCUUCAAGUUCUAAUUGUUUUCAUAGUCGAGUCUUUGGAGUUGAAUUUUGCACUUUUAUUUCCGGAGAGGCACACACUUCUUCGUGUUUUGCCUGUCCUUGUUGUCCUAGCGGCAUCAUCAGAGAAAGAUAGUGAAUCAUUGUACAAAAGGGUGAAAAUCAACAGACUUAUGAACAUAUUUAAGAAUGAUCCUGUGGUACCUGC
Molecule: unclassified non-coding RNA, 963 nt
Filed under: Hevea brasiliensis (rubber tree)
Lineage: Eukaryota; Viridiplantae; Streptophyta; Magnoliopsida; Malpighiales; Euphorbiaceae
Source: RNAcentral